AGAGCCACCAUGCCAGUUGUUGGCCAAAUCCGUCAAAAAAUUAUUCAGGAUCUAAGUCUUCCACAAUAAUUUAUGUUAUUGUCGGAGUCGUGAUUUGUUUGCUGAUUAUUGUUAUUGUGGCUGUCGUUUGUUUUGUUCGUUAUUGAAAGAGACGCUGCGACCAUCGCGUCCAGAAAGACGACUUCAAGGCCAAAGAUCAAGACACAAAUUGCUAUGAGCUGCCAAUAGCUACACAAACUUCUCAUACCGUCGAGAAUGUGGACAUUACACAAAGCGCUGCAAACAGCUCCCGGUCAGUUAGCAUGAAGUCGGAUACUGUUCCUGUCUACGGUAAUGCAAAACUGAUGUCGGACCAGAUUUGCUCGUUGACUACACCGGACAAUGACGUUAUUUACGAAAAUUUCCGUCGACACUAGAUGCAAAUUUGACUUGCAACACUAUCUACACUGAUGCAUACGACAAGACAAAUGUCUAAGAAAAUCAA
This is a long non-coding RNA of Corticium candelabrum, 484 nucleotides long. RefSeq lists it as uncharacterized. The record is from RefSeq and is a predicted model, not a curated record. The transcript has 3 exons. Lineage: Eukaryota; Metazoa; Porifera; Homoscleromorpha; Homosclerophorida; Plakinidae.